UACGAAGGGGGCGAGCGUUGUUCGGAUUUACUGGGCGUAAAGGGCGCGCAGGCGGCUCAUUUUGUCAGGCGUGAAAGCCCCGGGCUUAACCUGGGAACUGCGUUUGAUACGGAUGGGCUAGAGUUCGGGAGAGGAGAGUGGAAUUCCCAGUGUAGAGGUGAAAUUCGUAGAUAUUGGCUGGAACACCCGUGGCGCAAGCGGCCACCUGGCAGAGUUCUGACGCUGAGGCACGAAAGCGUGGGGAGCGAACCGG
This 253-nucleotide ribosomal RNA is filed under the name uncultured bacterium. Its description in RNAcentral is "partial 16S ribosomal RNA". It matches the Rfam family "Bacterial small subunit ribosomal RNA", at positions 524 to 776 of the family's 1533-position model. The record is from RNAcentral.